Long non-coding RNA from Lemur catta (Ring-tailed lemur), 1236 nucleotides. RefSeq lists it as uncharacterized. The record is from RefSeq and is a predicted model, not a curated record. Lineage: Eukaryota; Metazoa; Chordata; Mammalia; Primates; Lemuridae. The transcript has 3 exons.
CCCCGCGUCCGCCCUGCCCACCCCCGCCGCGCCGGGCCGCGCCUCUUCCCCGGGAAACUCAAGUCCCGAAUUUCCUCGGAAGGCGCCCGGCGGCCACGGCCAACGGAUAUGACGAGGCUCAUCUGCUACCAGGGGGGAAAGUUUCGGGAACCCUUAAAGGGGCAGCGAGGGCCUGAACUGGCCCCCUGGCCCCGCGCGCGAGAGGGCCCGCGGGUGUCCCCUCGUCCCGCAGGGGCGGGAGCUGUCGGGGGUGACUCGGGGGUCAAGGAGGAGGGAGGAGAGUCCCCCAAAAGCCGCGAGCCUCACAGCGAGUCUCCGAGCCUGCGCCUCCCCUCGCCAAGAGCACCGUCUGCCUCUCUUCGCGUCGGGGACUGGCGGCUCACCAAGCCAUUGCCCGGGCGCUGCCCCCCAUUCCUGCCCGCCCCCCUCCUCGUCCCCACCGCGGCCCCGAGUGAUUAGAAGAGGUCUGAGUGGGGGCGGGGAGGGACAAGGGCUAAGUGGGGGAGGCGAGGACGCGAGAGCGUUGGAGAAUUUUCCCUAAAAAUCCUGGGGGAAGUGGGGGGUUUGGCCGCUGCCUGCUGCCAGCCAGACCCUCGGUUCUCCCCUCGCCCCCUUCGUCCCCCGCGGGGCAGGUGGCGCCGCGGCCGGCUGUGAACCUGGGCUUCUCCCCGUCCUCGCCUGCCCGCGCUGCAGAGGAGAAGCUGCUGGGAGCCGCUCCCUCACCUCCCCCAGGGUCCCCUAGGUCCACCUGGUGUUUGAAUUGAAAUGGUGUGUGGCAGCCCUCUCAUGGGAGAGCAUCGGUUUCCCCUCAUAUCAACCUUGAAGCUCUUCCCCGAGAAAGAACCCGUUCCUGUAGCACUGCCACAGGCUCCCGUGGGCCACUCAGGAAGACAAAAGCCCUUCAGUUACAUGGCCCCUCACUCCUUGGAAAGAGCAAACCUCAUCACUGAGCCUGUCUCUGGGCAGUGGAAGGUGAGCAAGGAUCUCACCUCCACCCCCAGAGACUGACCGAGGACCCUUGCAGGAAUAUGUGGCUCUCAGCCAGAAAGAGUCUGCGCCUGCACGUGCCCCGAUGCUCAUCGGCUGUCACUGCCAGCUCGCGUUCCUCUGACACCAGCAAUUCUCAACCUUUCUGGCCUCAGGAGCCCUUUACACUCUUAAAGAUUAUUGAGGACCCCAAAGAGCUUUUGUUUAUGUGGUUCAUAACUAUCAAUAUUUACCAAAUUAUGAAUUAAA